UAAAGACCUAACCUAAUAUUUAAAUAAUAAAAGCAACUGCUUAAAACUUAAAGAACAUGGCGGUGUCUUAUAAACUCAGGGGAACCUGUCCCUUAAUUUGAUAAUCCACACACUUCCUAACCAAUCUUUGCUUAAACCUGUAUACUGCUGUCGCCAGCAAGCUUACAUAAAAGCUUGCACAAACUAAAACGUCAAGUCAAAGUGCAGUUUAUAUUUUGGAGAGAGAUGGGUUACAACCUAAAUAAAGAUAACUUACACAUAUAAAUAAACUACGAGGUGGACUUGACAGUAAUGUUAUAAAUCAUAAACAUUUAUCUAAGACAUGUACACAUCGCCCGUCACUCCCAUAAAAAUG
This 355-nucleotide ribosomal RNA is filed under the name Marionina sp. D LM-2012. RNAcentral's name for it is "partial 12S ribosomal RNA". Lineage: Eukaryota; Metazoa; Annelida; Clitellata; Enchytraeida; Enchytraeidae. The record is from RNAcentral.